AAAACUACACAAUCAAACAUUUUCCAGCAGGAAUCCUAUCCGAAGUCGAGAAACAUUAACAGCGGCAUCCAAGAUUCCAGGUGUAAUGGCUCCGGAGCAGUACACAAGCUCCAAGAUGCCGACAGGGGCUGGGGGAAGUGUCAUCCAGUCAAUCCCAAAGAAGUCUCCCUCAAUCUUCCAACCAUGGGCCAUUGGUGGUGGAACAUCAGGCUGACUCUUCAGGGACCUUCUGUAUAUGGCUGCCUGCAGAUCUGCAGAGAUGGCUUCUGAUGCUACCUGACCUGAUGUAACAUGCCAUGUCCUUGACCUCCAUUGUGAUGGCUGCUCUCUCGU
Perca fluviatilis (European perch) is the source of this 333-nucleotide long non-coding RNA. RefSeq lists it as uncharacterized. NCBI's taxonomy places the organism in Eukaryota, Metazoa, Chordata, Actinopteri, Perciformes, Percidae. The transcript has 4 exons. The record is from RefSeq and is a predicted model, not a curated record.